Molecule: non-coding RNA, 1125 nt
Organism: Macaca mulatta (Rhesus monkey)
Lineage: Eukaryota; Metazoa; Chordata; Mammalia; Primates; Cercopithecidae
Source: RefSeq, a predicted model, not a curated record
CUGGUCACUUUGCUCACAUUAUUUUCUUUAAUUCUCACCACAGCCAUAUGGAGUAUACUAAGAUGACUACUAUACUACUACUGUUACUAUUAUUACCAUCUCCAUUGUAUAGAGAAGAAAAGUAGGUUCAGAAAAUGGACGCACACAACAAUGUGUUCAUCUCAGGGUAUGAAAAUCACAAACACUGUUCUUCACUUAGAAUGUUGAGCAAAAUAAUUAUUUUUUAGUCCUGUGAUUUGAAAGUGAGGAUACCUGGUUGGGGUUAAUCACCGGGAUUGAGGCAGGUAAGUGCAAAACCAGCCCCUGAUAAGGAAACAGAAGCACAUUUAUUUUACAUAUUUCACAUUUAUUGUAAAUUUUUCAUGGAUGUAGAAGGUGUUCUAACCAUUGCCCUGCUCUCACCUUCAGCAUUCAGUCAACAUUUUCCAAGUCAUUAUUGAGCCCCAACUUGCCUUUAGACCCUCAGCAGCACUGUGGGCCCAGCUCUGCAGGAGGCACUGUGGAACUUACUAACGAACGGGCGACAAAUCAUCGCAGGGAGCUUGUGGGGCAGAUCUGGGCACUGAACACUUCCACUCCAGGGUCUGUAGCUGCUGGGCCCAGAGGCAGACCCCAGACCAGCCUAAGUCAUUGAGAUCUGUCUCCGGGAUGGAAAGUUGGAAACAUGAGAUCAAGGAGACUUGAAGAAGCCAGAUGGUCACAAAACUUCAUCACGACUCGAGUCACUGCCCGGCCAGCCAAUGCGACUCACCUAACUUGUGCUGAGGAAGGAUCUACUGUGAAAUAAACACCACGCCAGACGCCAGAGGAAACAAAGAUGGCUAAGGUCACAGUCCCACCCUGGAGGUCUAGACCCAAGUUGGAGGAGAUGGGCAGGUAGACAAGCACAAGAGAUCAGCGCCUAGAACUGUGCCUGUGUCAAACAAAUACUUGCAGAAUCAGUGAAUGCAUCAAAGAAAACAGCAUGCUUGUGAACUCACCAACAAUGGGCAAAUCCCAGCCAUGACGGGGAAAUAACCCCUCACAUCUCACCAACCACCCAGGAGCAGCCAGUAUGUCAUCCAUGUGGGCCUGCAGCUAAUGAUCCACAUUCAGAAUUUUACGUCAUGCCCACACAGCCUUGCA